CUUACCUGAUUCCAUUUCCCAAUCGUGCCGCCUCUCUCCCCAAUCUCCUCUUCGUCGUCGACCAUCGACACAAUCACCGCCGACCACCAGUGUUAUCACUGUCGGGCGUCGAGGGUGCUGCCAGUCACUCCUAGCCAUUAUUGCCCUUUCCUUACCUCACUUGUGCCCUAGCUUCCCAAUGGCACAACCGGCGCCGCCACCCGAUCCCGCCGGCACUAUCGAGCCACCGUCAUCUCUUCGUUGUUGGUCCUGAUCCCCUCUCAUCGAGCCACCUUCUCACCAGGGUGCCCCUGCGCGCGACAGUCACCGGGUCAGCUCUGUAUGCGACGACGAUCGGACAGUCCUUGUGCGCGACAACCGCUAAGAUGUUUCUAUGUGACUCUUUUCUUGUGUCGGCGGUGAGUAACAUCUCCGCCACUACCAGGCGUCUUUGCCAGAAGUCGAGCACAGUGGCCACUGCACUCCUUCACACCCCGAGCCUUCUCCACCGAGCCUUUUCCAUUGAACCUUCUUUACUGAUCACUGGAUUGCCCUACUGUUAUACCUGAGUCAAAUCUUUGUCUUGAGGGUGUUUGAUCUGUUGGAUAGCAGCUUCACAAUCCUUCGGCCAUAAAUUCCAACAACCAUUGCUCCGGUCGUGAGUCAACGGAAGAGCGUACGGAUUUAGUUUUUCUUUCGCCAGGGAGUAGGUAGAGGAUUUAUGGAGUCGCUUGGAGAUCCUGUCCGCCAGUCCCAUGUCACAUUAUUGCUUCCACUCACAUUAUUGGUUUUAGACUUGUACAUGUGAUAUGUAUCUGUUGUAUGGAGUUUAGCCUUGUGUUUCCUAUUUUUAUUUUGAUGUUGUUGUGUCAAGGCGGACCGACUCGUAGUUAGUUGUUUUUGUGGUUUUUCUUUCAUUUUUUUAUAUAUUCUGCUGUGUUUUGUUUCAGUCGUGUGGGCUAUGUAUCAACUGUGUGGUUGUAUUUACUUCCAAUCAUGUGGACUGCUUAUAAACUGCGUGGUUGUGUUUAUUUCCAACCAUGUGGGCUA
Long non-coding RNA from Zingiber officinale, 1029 nucleotides. RefSeq lists it as uncharacterized. NCBI's taxonomy places the organism in Eukaryota, Viridiplantae, Streptophyta, Magnoliopsida, Zingiberales, Zingiberaceae. The record is from RefSeq and is a predicted model, not a curated record. The transcript is spliced from 3 exons.